This 332-nucleotide ribosomal RNA is filed under the name uncultured eukaryote. Its description in RNAcentral is "partial 18S ribosomal RNA". It matches the Rfam family "Eukaryotic small subunit ribosomal RNA", at positions 1470 to 1796 of the family's 1831-position model. The record is from RNAcentral.
CCCUUAGAUGUUUGGGGCCGCACGCGCGCUACACUGAAGGAAUCAACGUGUGUCUCGCCUGGCCUGGGAAGGCUGGGUAACCCGUUGAACCUCCUUCGUGCUAGGGAUUGGGGCUUGUAAUUCUUCCCCAUGAACGAGGAAUUCCCAGUAAGCGCGAGUCAUCAUCUCGCGUUGAUUACGUCCCUGCCCUUUGUACACACCGCCCGUCGCUACUACCGAUUGGAUGGUUUAGUGAGACCCUCGGAUUGGACCCGGCAUGGUGGUUACCGCCGCGCCGGCGUGCCGAGAAGACGGUCAAACUUGAUCAUCUAGGGGAAGUAAAAGUCGUANCA